RNAcentral lists this long non-coding RNA (1198 nucleotides) under Homo sapiens (human). RNAcentral describes it as "non-protein coding lnc-ARHGAP28-10:4". The record is from RNAcentral. Lineage: Eukaryota; Metazoa; Chordata; Mammalia; Primates; Hominidae.
UCAGCAUCUGCCGACAGGUCUACCUAAUCUUCCAAACUCUGUGUAAAUCCUGGAUCCACCAUUUACCAGCUGUGUAACCCUGGACAACAAUUCCAUCUUUCUGACCUCAGUGUCUUUCUCUGCAAAACAGCGGUAAGAAUGAUCCUACUUCAAUAGAGUUGCUGUGAGGAUUCACUGAGAUCAUGUGUACCAAGCUCCUACAAUAGUACUGAACCCACAGCCAUGGAUCAAGACCAUUAACUUAUAAUCAGUGAUAGCCAAGAGGAUGGGAAGAGAAUAUUAAGCCUGGUGCUCUGCAAAUUAAUACUUGCAGCUUAAAAAUACGCUGGACAUGCGACAAUGGUGCUGAGUACUUUGGGGGAAGAUCACAACAGUCCUGGUAGCAGUGUCACAGCAAAAUAUUUCAGAGGUACCAGAUGAGCUAGCUCCAAGGCAAAUGAGGCAAUAUUAUGUUUAACUGUUUGUUCGGAAACUUCUUUUAUUAAAAAAGAUUUUAAAUAUUAAUGCUAUUUUCAAUACAGGUGUGAUAACACUCAAUAAAGCAUGGUGUACUUGAUAUAAAUUUCGGAAUGUAACAGUCCAUCUAGUUCCUGGUCCCCUCCAGUCUCCACCACAUAGCCUAGUAGCAAAACGUACACACCCGUUUAAAAAUGAAGAAGCUUUUGGGCAUUGGGUGAGCACAGUGGGGUGGGGCAAGGAAAGUGCUCGUUCCUGAAUUAUUCAUGCUUUUGGCUUUGACUUCAGUUAGUAACAUCAAUUCUAAGAGAACUGAGACAAACUCUUCUAUGUUCCGCAAAGGAAUGGAGAAAAAAGCCUGCCAUUCGCAAGCAGCUGUGGGCAAAACCAGCGCAGAGUACAGGGGUCGGGAAAUGAGGGAUUAAAAAAAAAAGUCGGAGUAAAGUGCACAGUUACUGUCAAAAAUAUAUUAUUUUGAUCCUAAGAAAAUUAAAAGAUUUUAUCUAAUGGACUAGAUUGCUGACCUUUUAAUACAUUUGGUUUUCAUUGAACAUACAAUCACCAUCGGACAUAAAAAGACUAGUUUGCUUAAAAAAAAAAAUCCUUGGAGUUAUCUACAGGAAUCUUGUGGACGCAAUUCAAGGAUAACAUUCUGCAGCUCUUUGGAUAUUGAAUGAUGUCCUCGGAUCAGUCCACAAAAGAAACAGGGACCUGUUAAUGCACUGAUUCAAGUGGGCGUUUC